This is an RNA transcript of Triticum dicoccoides, 2662 nucleotides long. RefSeq lists it as uncharacterized. Lineage: Eukaryota; Viridiplantae; Streptophyta; Magnoliopsida; Poales; Poaceae. The record is from RefSeq and is a predicted model, not a curated record. The transcript has 3 exons.
UGCAGGGCCACCGCCGUCGCGUCGCCCGACAGCCCGUCCCGGCCUCGACGCCCGACGCCGCCUCGCCCCCUCCGCCCCGGUCGCUGGCCUCGACGCCCGAAGCCGCCUCGCCCCGCUCCGCCCCGGCCACUGACCUCGAAGCCCGACGUUGCCGCAGCGAGGAUCACGGCAUUUGAUUUCCCGACUAGAAGUGCUGUGCUAAUGUUGCAAGAAUUGGACCGUGCGGCAAUGGCGGCCGUGCCCAGUGAGAUUCCGACACCCUUGGCCUCCACUAUUCUUCUGCCGGCCAAAAGGGUGAAGCAAGAUCCGAGUUGUCCGGAACCCUCGUCCGCGGUUCCGGCCAUGGAGGCUGCAGGCUGGUCCACGCUCUCAGGCGACCUCGUCCGCCGCAUCGCCGAUUCCUUCCUCGCCAACAACGACCUGGACUACUACAUGUCUGUCCGUGGCGUCUGCCCCACCUGGCGCGCCACCACCGACGACCCCAGCAGCGACACCCGGGACUCCCGCUUCCAUCCGCGCGCGUGGAUCGUCCUGGACGAGGACUUCCAGCGCGACGGCAGGCGGGUCUUGCUCAACACCCUCACUGGCCGCUUCCUCCGCAAGAAACUGCCGUUGCUACUGGAUUACUACAUCAUUGGUACAAGUCGCGGCUUCUUCGUGCUGGCAGACAGGAGUCCUCCUCACGCCGCUUGUGUCUUCAAUCCUCUCACCGGCUGCGUGGUCCGGUUCGCGGCGCCCGUGCCCCGCGAGGUGGGGCUCUCCGAAGUUGACUACUCGCUGGCGCUCGCCCUGUUCUGCGACUCAUGUCGCACGAUUUACAAGGCCGCGCCUGACAGCGAACGUUUCGUCGCGGUCAAGACGAGGAGUAAAAAGCCGGCAGUUUACGAUUGCUUCCGCAAGGCGGCCGUAGGUGGUGUCUAUGCAGAAAUCAGUGCCUUGAAAUCAAUUGCAGUAGCUGAGAUGAUUACAUUUUUACCCAUGUUUAAUGCGAUAGCUGCACAGAUGCAAAAUAGAGGAUAUCCAGAGUUCCCCAGCGAUCUUCCUAGAGACGUGAAGGAUAUCCAGAGUUCCCUGGUGGUUUUAUCUGGACAGAUGUUGAUCGUCUUGGGUGCACUGUUUCCCUUUGUUUGCCAAGUGGACAUCGAUGCAACUGAGUUGGAGCCUUUGGUGAGCAUCGGCAGAUUUGCCAUCUUCAUCAGUAAUCGGAGGUGCCUAGCUGUGGAUACUGACAUGUUCCCAUCGAUUGAGGCAAACUGUGUCUACUUCAUUCAGCUUCUGGGUUCAUCUGCAUAUAUCUGCAAGUCCAACAUAGAGGACAGGAAAGUACAGAGGAUCUCUGAAAGUCCAGAUUUCGUGAAGCGGGGCAAGCGGUUUGUCCUCGUCGCUUGCCGUCCUUUUACGGUCAUCCAGCUUCUAUCGAGCUACACCAUCAACAUCCCGGAUUCUCAGUUGGCACUGCAACAGAUGCCAUAAGGCGCCAGUCAGAUCUUCAUUCAGCUCUAGGGAUAGUGAUCUCGAUGACCAACCGACAAAGCUAUGCUUUUGCGAAGAAACUGCUCCUGUCUUUUUUUGUUUUGUUAUGUUGGACAUGCCUUGCCUUGUCAUGGUUAAGAAACAUGUUUAUUCAAGGUACUGUACAUUUACAUAGUUAUCAUGUUCAUUCGACCGUACUAGGAAACAAGUUAGAAGUAUGCAGAGAACAGUGGCUGAAAUUAACAUAGGUAAGUGGAUGAACUAUUGAACAGCAGGUACAAAAUUUGAGAUCAUCAAAUGUUUGCCAACUAAUCUGCAUCAUGUGUCUAUUCUACUGGGCUGAGGAAUUGACUUUGCUUUGUCUUUUUUUAUUUAUCUCUUGGUUCUUCUUAUUCUUAGUACUCAAUUGUUUGCAAGUUAUAUGACUCAUGUCCCUGUUCCUUGAAUUGAAGAAUUGACUUUACCUUAUUAGUACUCUUAAUAGUCAGUAUGUAGGGUGUUCCUUUUUAUACCCUCUGUUGUAACUGAGGACGAAACGAGGUAGAUUCUCCCCUCAAUUGCCCUGCAAGCUGUAUCUGAUUUUUCGAGCACAUUUGAGCAGUACUCAUCAACCUCUUUGCCAGUCCGGUGGCUAUGUUGUUUGUCGUUAAUCUAAGUUUUCGUCCUAAAACCAGUGGUUAACUUGUUAUCCAACUGCCUGGAUUGAGCUAUUGCUGAUAUAGUGAUAUUCAUUGCAACUCAGUAGAAUGAAUUUCAUUCCUUUGAUACUGAUCAAUGGAUGGCGUGGUGAAUUUCUGUUAUAUGAUGUCAGUUUUCCGCAUGGACUUUCCUUUGUUUUCUUUCAACGACCAAUUAGUUUGAUGACGAUGUUUUCUUGUUCGUUCAGUUGGCAUACCAAUUGUUUUUCAUGUCAGUUUGUUUACUUGGAUGAUUAGUGGUACAGGGGUCAAGUGGACGUUGGGUUUUGUACUCCUGAAACCCUAUUUUGUUUCAGAGGAUACAUUUGAAACUCUGAUUGAAUGCUUCUUCCGCAGCUUCAAGAUAAUCGCUGGCCUUAUUAUCUCUGAUAAUUGUUGUAUGAGUGAUUGAAUGCAGUUAUCAGGGCUAUCUACGUUUCACUGGUCAUCAUGUGAGGUCAACCAGAACCUCGUACUACUUCAGAAGCUGACACUAACAAGGGUUAAUAAUG